UCGAACACUUUCAUAAAUUGUUUUAACUUAAUUUUUAAUUUAUAAAUUAAAUUGAUGACAAACACUUUUACUUACAAGUUAUAAUUUAACAUAACUCAUAAAACAACUUAUAUUAUAUUUUAUAAGUCAUUUAAAAAAAGGAGUACCUGAACAGGCCGAUCCCACUAUUUUCGAAAAUGGUUAGCAUCAAAUUUAUUUUUGAAUAAAUUAAUUUUUGGAUAAAUUAGUCAAUAGAGUACUGACACACAAGUAAGACUCCAUGUAUGUCAAUAUUCUAUUGGUCAAUUGACAAUCUAAACACUAGCAUAUCUCUCCUCUCUCUCCUACUCUCUACUGUCAUACCACCACCACCACCACCACCAUAAAUCCCCACAACUUGUACUAGCAAAAGGAGUUAUCCCAGCAACACUUCAAUAAAAACAAAACCUCCAAAUCGCCUUCAAAUCUAAAUCUCUAUCUCUCUCUCACUCAAACACACACAACACCACUUCGUUGCAACAACGAAGCCACCAUGGUUGGACGAUCCAACAGACAGUCACAUCUGAAAAUCAUGUAAAUUUUGUCAUGGAUUUCUUUCAUCAGUAAUCAUCAUCGGAUCUAAUUUUGUACCAAAAUUUCGCUGUAAUGAAGAAGAUGAUGAAAUGGGUCUGAACACUUUGGAGUUGGAUCUAAGGUUUAUAUUUAGGAUUUUCUGUAAAUCCCAUAAUGAUGAUGGUGAUGAAGAUGACGGUAAUUCUCGAUUUAUGGUUGCUGAUUGAAUGAUUGUGGCGACGAGUUUUUUUGUAUCGAGGAGGGGAUCUGGUGUAUGUCUAGAUCUAGGGUUAGAUUUCGCAUCGAAGAAAAGUUCCAUCUUCAUUUUUGGGUGUCAAAGCCUGCUUCAUUUGGGGAUUUUUUGGAGCGAUUCUUUUCAACAAAAAAUAUUUGUUUUGAAAUGAAUGUUGGUAAUGUAGAGGUGGCUUUGGGUGGAUGUUUAAGGGUGGUGUUGAUGGAGUUGGUGGCCGCGUCGGCUAUUUGAGGUGAUGUUAUAUUAAUGUUUUUAUUUUUCUUUUGCUAUUAUAUAAUGCUGUAUUGUAUUUUUUACACUUAAAAUGAUUUAUAAUAAUUUCAUAAAAUGAUUUAUAUUAAUUACAAUUUGAGUAUUUUUUUUAACCCAUCACCUUUUACAUGACAUUUGUUUAAGUUAUUUCAUCAAUUUAUUACGUUAUAAUUUUAAUUAUAUUAUAGUAAAAAAAAUUAAUAAUUUAAUAAUAAAAAUUAAAAGAUCAAAUUAUUGAAGUGAAAAAAAUGUCAAUAACAUAAUUAGAGGGAAUGAAAUUAUUAUCAUUGUGGUGUGAACAUACAAUACAAGGAGGAUGAUUUUGAGUGUAUAUAUAGGCGAGUUUGUGUUUGUGACGCGAACACGUGUUAAGGAAACAUCAGGCUGGCGGGGCCCAAGUGUUUGUAACGCGAACACGUGUUAAGGAAACAGCAGGCUGGGCGGGCCCGAAGGGGGGUGUGUUAAGGAAACAGCAUGUUGGUCUGGGCGGGGCGGGAGCUUGGUAUGAAUAAGAAGUGUAGAAAGAAACAAUUAUUCAUCCAGCUGUAAUUCUGUGGGACAAAUUCUUUGCUUACUUUUGGCUAACACCUGUGAGAUUUUUGGGGUGACGUGGCAGUGGCUACUUGAUGUUUAACUCUAUCUCCAUUUUAGUCCUUUUGACUCACAAGUAUGUAUAUCCAAUUCAUGCAAAUUAAGAAAUCACUAGGGCGGGCGGGCAGGCAGGCAGGUAUACUGAGGUAAGUAGAUGUUUUAUACUCCUGUCCUUGUGCAAAUACUAAUAUUUUAUUCAUUUUAGAUAAUUAUUUUUGAUCAAAACAUAAUUUACAAUAUGUGGAAAACGAGAUAACACCACAAACAUUGUUUUUACAUAUCAAAAUUGAAUAACUCCACAAACAUUAUUUUUACAUGGAGUAUCAAAUUGAAUAACUCCACAAAGACACGUCAACACCAAAUUCCAUUUCAUCACCAUUAUUAUUCCCAUCUCCCAUACAUUGCGGCGGCGGUAACAUCAUCCCUUCUGCCAUACUCGCAAGCAAUCCCGGCAUCCCAAAAACCGCCUCGUCAUCCAUGUAAUGUGCAUUUUCUAAAAAUGUUGUCGUCCUAUUCUCCACAACAUCACCAUCGGGGGAUCCGUUAUUGGGUUGCGGCCGAAAUGCCUCCGCGGCCUCUGCCGCCGCCUUCUGAAUGUCCUUGGUUUCAGGGGAUGCUGGAAUUGGCAAUCUCCACGGCGAGUCCGCAAAAUUAAGACAAGCAGACCGACCUCUAAGUGCAAUAGCCGCCACGUCAUGAGCUCUAGCAGCCAUUUCAGCCGUUAGAAAAGUCCCGAGCCAAAUCCUUGAUUUCUUGUUUGGCUCCCUUACUUCGCACACCCACUUGCCAGAAUCUCUUUGUCGGACUCCUCGGUAUACCGGGUGUCGGGUUUCACGAAAUUUCUUUCUUCCGGCGCGUUUCUUUGGAUGACUGGAAGCUAAUAUCACUUCUUCAUCAGAAAAAUUGACAGGGCGGCUCCUUCCCGUACUUUCAGAUGCGGUUGAGGAUUCCGAAAAUUCAGUUGACCAUGAAAAAGUUAGUGGGUCUGAGUGACAUGAGAUAUUUUUCAUAAAUUAUUUUGAUUUUGAUUGUUGUGUGAAGUAAAUAGACUGAAUUAAAUAAUAGAUUAUAUUGAUGUGUAUGAAUUGAAUUGUGAGAUAGAUAAUUAAAGGGAAUGUGAUUAUUAUCAGUGUGGUGUGUAUAUUCAAGUAGGAUGAUUUUGAGUGUAUAUAUAGGCGACUCUGCGUUUGUGACGCGAACAAGGGAGUGUGUNNNNNNNNNNNNNNNNNNNNNNNNNNNNNNNNNNNNNNNNNNNNNNNNNNNNNNNNNNNNNNNNNNNNNNNNNNNNNNNNNNNNNNNNNNNNNNNNNNNNUCAUAUAUAAGGAUUAAAAUAGAAAGUCAAAUAAGGAUAAAGAAACUGUUGGAUAAUAAUUUAUUGAUAUAUUCUUUAAAAUUGGGGAUAAAGAGUUAUUUGGGGAAACUGUUAUGAAUGUUCUUAGAGAAAUGUUUUUGUUCCUAAAUAUAAGUCGUAUGAGAAUUUCAAGUAAGCAUUAAUUGCUUAGUUUCCAAUAUUACCCCAAGUAAUAAAUAUAACUUUGAUUCUCUCACUAUUUUUUUACCAAUAAAUAAUACUCUCUUUUUCUAAUAUAAGGACAAUAUAGACAAUUAAUAGUAUAUUUAAUGUUUUACAAUCAUUUUUUUAAUACUUGUGCACAACUCUAAAACGGCCUAUAUUAAGGAACGUAAGGAGUAUUGCCUUUCCUUUUAUAUUUUAUUUUGUAAGACUACAUGUAUAGAAUAAGAGCCUGUUGAGGCCCAGCUCGACCGAAAAUGUCCAUUAAUUUUCUGUUACAUUUAAAAAGGCUUAAAUAUAAAUUAUUAUUUUAAAAUAUUAAUAUUUUUUUUACUUCAAUGGUAGAUUUUUUAAUUUUUGUAAUUAAGUUAUUAAAUUAUUAUUUUUUAUUUUGAUUUAAUUAAAAUCGCUGAUGACAUGAUUUGAACACAUAAAAUGUGGCUGAUGAUAUGUUAAAAUAAGACUUAUUGUGUAAUUAAUUUUAAUCAUUUUAUAAAAACUUAAAAUGAUUAAAUGUAAUAUAAUAUUACAAUUUAAUAAUAAAAAUUAAAAAGAUUUUUAAAAUAAAAGUAUCUAAUUUUAGUGGUAAUUUUUUAUAACCAAGUAAUAAUAAAAAAUAAAAUAUUACUUAUCAUUAUCAUUAAUGAAAUUUUGUAAAUGAUGAGAAUAAAAUAUGCUAUGUUUUUAUUAUUUAAUGCUUAAUCUUUUUUAUUUAUUUUGUGUCUAAAUAUAUUCAUUAUUCUUAUAUUUUUAUUAAAGGUGCAAUUAAAUUUUUUUCAAUUUAAUUAUAUUAUUUCUUUAAUUAAUAUAUUUUAUUUUAUUUUAUCGAAUUUAAUAUUUUAUUAUAAUAAAGUCAAUAUAUUGGUGAUCAAGUAAUAUUUAAUGCUUUUAUUCAUGGAAGAAAGAAACAAGAAAAAUCCUACAAGGAGGAAGGAGGUGUGCAUGUCAAAUCCAAUGAAGGAAAGGAAAAUCUAUCUAGAAGAUCUCUUUGAAGUAAGUUGAUUGCCAUUAAAAGGUUGAAACUUACAUGGAAAAGAAUUAGAGCUCUUCUAUGUGGAUAUAAAAAUUGGACACUGAGUGUAUUUAAAUUUCACUUAUUUGUAUUUUCACUAUGUCCACGUAGAGUUUUUGAAAGAAUUAAUGUCUUAUGCCUAUAAAUAAAGAAUUAUCAAGAGAGCUUAGAGACAUGUAUACAAACUUUUCUCUCUAUUAUUAUUUGGUGUUUUCAUGGUCAUGUGUGGCUAAACUUCUAUUCUUGGUUUAAGAAGACAGAAGCUUCAGAAUUAUUACACUGCGAGAUCUAAUUAGUUUUAAUUGUCAAUUAUUAUUUUAAGUAUUGAUUAUUCUUUUGUGCUUAAAUUCCAUAAUUGAAUAGUUUAAUUGUUAGGUUGUAAACUAGUUUAUUAUUCAUUGAAAUCUACUACUAAAUUAGACAUCAAAUUCGUAAUUGUUUGGUCACCGCAAGACAACUAAGAUUAAUAAUUGACUGCAGAUAACUUUUGCGUUAUUUGUGUAUUUGUUUACUUUAUUCAACAACAUUCAAAACCCCAUUUUUGAUACAUAAAAUAUAAAAAUAGAUUAAUCAUUUUGUAUGUGAUCGACUCUUGCUAUUACAUUAAUAUUAUUCGCAAUAAGAUUUUAUUUUUAGUUAUCUGCGACAUCACACCAUCAAACAAAAUAAAAAAAUAAAAUAAUUGUUACUAAGUAAUUAAAAAAAAUUAAAUACCAAUUUUUUUUUUGAGCAUCUCUCUCUCAAUCUGAUUAUCACGUCUCUCUUCUCCUUCUCUCUACUGUCAUACCACCACAAUCAUAAAUCCCUACAACUUGUACUAGAAAAAGAAGUAAAUCCAGCAACACUUCAAUAAAAACAAACCCCCAAAAUAUUCUUCAAAUCCAAAUCUCUCUCUCUCUCUAUAUGUCAGUCAAACACACACAACAACACUUCGUUGCAACAAUGAAGCCACCAUGGUUGGAUGAUCCGACGCACAACCAUAUCUGAAAAUCAUGUAAAUUUCGUCUUGAAUUUCUUUCAUCAAUGAGUUAAGUAAUCAUCAUCGAAUCCAAUUUUUGCUGUAAUGAAGAAGAUGAUGAAAUGAGUCUGAAAACUUUGGAGUUGGAUAUCUAAAGGUUUAUAUUUAGGACAUUCUGUAAAUCAGGGUCGGAUUAAAGAAUUUUUUUUAAGUAGUGUGAUGCCUCCAAAAUAGGUAUACAUCACCCAUUCUAAGUCGCCAAAUACAUGGUACAGGAAAGAACUACAACUUUAAUUAUACAACUGUCGUGUAGAAUACGACAAAACAUAAGUUGUGAGUUUUAAUACAAAUAUUGUCUCCUAGACAAUAUCCAAACUCAAAUUUAAUCUUAUUAUAAUUAUUAUCACACUAUUUUACAAAAUAGUGAGGACUGCUAUAACCACCAUCUGGACCGUCAAUCCAUUCUCCGGCUAGUCUCAGCUAUAUUCUCAUUUCCUAAAGAGAAUAAUGAAAGAAAAAAUGAGCUCAACUAGCCCAGUAAGAAAUAUUAUGAUUAAGAUAAUGCAGAAUAAAUUAUCCUUAGCCUUCAACAGUAUAACAACAGAUAGAAUACAAUAGACAACAAGUUUUAGAUCAACAACUGCAACGGAACAAGCAAUCCAUUAGAAGAGUCAAGUAGAGCAUGAUAUCUACCAUCUUUUAUGAUUUAAAAGUUUAUCAUCAAUUUUAUCGCUGAGACUCAGCUUUAAUAAAUAAUCCACAUCAUUGAAUUAUUCAUGCACUACGGGCCAAUGAUAUUCAUUAGUAUCACGACCACGAAUUAUCCAUACACUACGGGCCAAUGAUAUUCGUGUUUUCACUAAUGGUCAUGAUCAUACCAACCACUGUCCAUCAAUGCACUAGGGCCAAUGAAGACUGUUACUACAUCAUUUGUAACAUUACAGUCAUAAUUAUACCGAAUAAUUCCUUGUCAUAAUCAUACCAAUCAACAGUCCAUCUAUGCACGUAAGCCACAGAUGACUUUUAUCACAAUAUAAGCAUGAGGAUGAUCACAAUGAUAUAAAAAUUCAAUUAAAAGAAAGUAAAGAAUAAAUUUUUAAAGAUUUAUAAUUUAAUUUAUCCAGAAUUCAAUUAUGUCCAAAUUGUCAACAUGAUAUUGCUUUGUGAAGUAAAAUUCAAAAUUUAUAUUGUAUCAAAAAUGAUUUGGACCGAAAAAAAAUUAUUUUUUAUCAUGAAUAGUACCUCGAGUGAAUAGUACUUGAGUGAAUAGUACCCCGUGAAUAGUAAUUCAGGAAUAGUACCUCAUGAAUAGUACUCCGGCAUGAAAAAGUUAAAACUUAUCAAGAAUGCUCAGAAUAAUAUUUUCAUGAAAAGAUAUUGGAUGAAGCGCAAAUAUCAAGGAUAUUCUACUAAUUUCAUGGAGUAUAGAAGCCAAAACUUAACAAAAUGAGUAUAAAAUUUAGAAUCUGAAAUGUAAUAAUAUUACUCACAUACUACAGAGUAUGAAAGAGAAUAUUAUUUCUUAUGAGUAUUGAACAAAAAUAAUAUCCCUUACGAAUACGAAAGAAAUAAUACCCCUUACCUUAGUAGGAGAUUGGAUACUGCAAUAGUGUAGUAACAGAAUACUUUUCUUUUUUCUCUCUGAUUCUCUCUCUAUAGAAUUCUCUUUUGAGUCGUACUGAAUUGGUGAGAAUGAAAGAAGUAAUAAGCUUCUAUUUAUAGAAGAUUUCCAGCUUAGCCCUUGCAAUGGGAAGAGGGAAGUGGCUUGACGACUGGUGAUGUGAAAAGAAAAGUAGUUUGACGCUUGUAAUGUGAAACAACAAGUGGUUCGACGCCUGUAAUGUAAAAUAACAAGUGGUUCGACGCCUGUAAUGUGAAACAACAAGUGGUUCAACGCUUGUAAUACACCUGGCAAACANNNNNNNNNNNNNNNNNNNNNNNNNNNNNNNNNNNNNNNNNNNNNNNNNNNNNNNNNNNNNNNNNNNNNNNNNNNNNNNNNNNNNNNNNNNNNNNNNNNNGCCUUUAUUUGAGCCCAAAAGUGAACGGGCCGGCCCGAAAAGGCCCAGAUUUUUGCGGGUCAAAAAAACACUGCCCAAAGUCCGCUUUUUGGCGGGCGGACCGGCCCGGCCCGCGGGCUUUGGGCCCGUUUUCCAGGUCUAGCCUGUAAUGUGAAACGACAAGUGGUUCGACGCCUGUAAUGUGAAACGACAAGUGGUUUGACGUCUGGUAAAGGCAAGUACGAUUGGCGAAAGUGACUUUUAGAUGAUGACAUAUGGGCCCCAUAGAAUAAACCAAAUUUAUAACAAACGUCUCAUAACAGACUUCUUAUUUAUAUCAAAGAUUGAAUAAAUAUUUAUCAUAAAUCAUUUUAUCUUCAAUCAACACAUUUAUUUUUUUAAAUCUUUCAACAAUUAUUCAUCAUUAAUAUUUUAACUCACAAUAUUGACAACCAGAUCAUUUCUAAAAAAGAGGGGGCUUUUCGAUAAGGACUUCUCUUUAUUGGCGCGCAAUUAGGUGACCAAACCCCUUUCCUCGACAGAACUUUCUAGACAUCGUCAAUAAUGCAAAUAAUAAUAUGAAUAACUUUAUCGUCUUAAUUAUUAAUUUAAUAAUAUAAAAUAUUGUGCAGAUGAUACUGUGACAAUAAUUGAAUCAAUAACGUGAGAUACUAUGCAGCAAUUACUGUAGCAAUAAUUGAGUAUAACUGAAUGACUUCUUACGUAAGCAUCAAUAAUCAAUACCGUAUGCUACUAUGCAACCACGCGUAUUACUGCACUUUUAUCACUGAGUAUUUCAACAGUUAACGGUAAAACUUUCGCCGUUAUUUUUAUAAAAAGAUAAUUUUGUCGUUUUUUAACUCCAACAAUAAUUCUGUUGUGGGGUCCACCAAUGAUUGUGUCGUCGUACAAAUAUUCCCCUACAAAAAGAAUAUUCCCCGAUAAAAAAAAAUAUUCCCCGAUCAAACGAAUAUUUUAUAAGAACUUGCUUUACUUUGCAAAAUUUUCAAAUAUCACCCUUAACUUUAAUCCUUUUAUCAAUUUAACCAUUUACUAAAUAAAAUAAUAAUUAUAAGAAAAUUGAAUACUUUCAUUUCAUAAAAUUCGGGGUCUUACAAGCAGGGCCAAAUUUUAAUUAAUUAAUUUUUGUUGAAGUUAAAUAAAGAAAACUUGAGCUAAUCAUAAUAAUAUUUACACAUUACAAUAAAUAUUUAUAAUCCAAACUAAAAAAAGAAUUUCAAAUUAAAAAUAUUUAGAUACAAUUUAGAAACUUAUUUUGGUUAUUUAUCAUAGUUCAAUUUGAAUGAUUUUCCAAAUACUCAAAGCCUCAAACUAAAUUUGUUUUCUAUAUUCAAAGAAACCAUGAAUUAAUUUCAAAGCAAAAAAUAAUUUUGUAUUUCUAAGAUUUCAUCAAGCCUUAAAACUAAGUAAAUUUUUGUUUUUAUAUUUAGAAUUAGUUUAUGAAAUUUAUUUUGCCAUUGUCGACGCCGGGAAGAUUUCCUAUCGCGUUCUCUACCGUUUAGAUUUCGCUAUACUGAUUUUAUCUUCCUUUAAAGGGUGAGAUUUUGGAAAGAUCGACAUACAAUGUCGACGAUUUGAAAAGUUUGUUUUUAAUGAUUGCGUCGAAUUAGACAGAGCUGCCAAUUGGUAUGAGUUUAAAUGGUUGUACCAACUCAACUAGAGUUUGAAAGGUUUUCGCAAUAUGCCCCAAUAUGUGAUUCUAUUUAAUUGGUCUGGAACCUGAGAUUUUUAGAGUUUGGGAGUUUGCUUAAGCGAGGGGAAGGUGUUAGGCACCCCCAGACUUUCGUGAAACAUGGUUACCGCUACUUUUUCAUUCCCUAAGCAUGUGAAGUGUGUGAGUGAGAUGCAGAUAAAUGUGCUCGCAUUGGUUUAUUUAAAAAUAGUGCUAUGCCUUUUUGAACCUAUAUAUGAAAGGGUUUUGACUUAUUGAAAAUUUCAUUUUUUAACAGGCAUAUGAUUGUGAAGUUUUGAAAAGCUGUUUUCAAACCCUUUCGCUCGCAUAUGAAUUGAGGCCUUUGAUACUUCUAUUUCAUUCCUUAUUCGGCUUGGCUUGAUUUGAUUUUAUUUAAGAUGCGAAGCAUCUUUGACAGUAUGUAAAUUUUAUCUACAAGUGUUCGGCUCCUUAUGGGUAUGAAAGCCAUCAAAAUGAGACCGAACACUACAAACCACAAUUUUCACUAUUUUAAGGCCAUAAAUAUGGAUAACCAUUUUAAGGCCCCACAGUUACAUGUAUAAUGGGUUGCAAACUGACUGUACAACUUAAAAAAGUCCAUCACAGGAACCAGAUCUAGAUCCAUUGAUUGAAUCAUUGACCCUAGGGUUCCUAGGCUCACAUGAUAUCAUUUCAACAGUCUGCACGAUGAAUAUAUUAAAAUAAAAUGUGUAUUUACUUCUAGACAUUGCAAAAUAAAGGAUUUAUCAAUUAAAUCCUUGUAUGCGAGUAGCCAAGCUUCCUGUUUCCUUUAGAUACAGAUCUAGGGUUACGUGGUUGCUAAAUAUUUAUAAAACUAGAAAGAAAAAUAGAUAUAUACAGAUAUUAGCCAUUCCAGCUUCCAGGUUUAAGUUUUACAACUUUUGAACCGGUUAAAAGUUAAAACUGGCUAGAUCUAGUAUAGAUCUAGUCAAUAUAUAAAACGUAAAUAUUGACUAUUUACAUGAAAUGAACGGUUAAAACCGCUAUCCAGGCACAACUAUGCAGUAUAUAUAUAUAUAUAUAUAUAUAUAUAUAUAUAUAUAUAUAUAUAUUAAAGUAAGAAAAAGACACAGAUAUGAAGAGAUCUUACAGCCUUGCACAAGAUGAGCUAUCGAACGGCUUUUGGCGCCUUUAAACUCAAAUUUCACCGGUUAAAACUUGAUAUGUUGUAGUAUAUAUGUAUAAAAGUGUUUACAAAGAAGAUUUACAAGAUUUGAAACAAGAUUUGAGCUGUUUGAUAAUCUAAAUCUCGAAUUUUCUCUCUCCUACACCCUUCUUUCUCUCCAAAAAUCUGCUGAAAAUGAACUGACAGAGCUGAUGUAUAUAGACUCGGGCUUUCGCAGGUACACCUGCAGAAAUGCCCAAUGGACCCCGCCGCCUCGAAGUUCGUACAGCUCGAUCGACGCACAGUUUGCUAAAAUAUCCGUAACUUGCAAUCUGGGAAUCUUAUAGAGAUCUGUCAUACUAUUCUGAAAAAUCCUUUUCGAGAGAUACACAAUGACAUAGGGCUUGCCCUUUCCCAGAUCCGGGAAUAUGAGUCCAUGACCAAACAGGCAUCUUCGGGUCUUCGAAUGAAGUCUGUUGAGCUAUUUUUGCAUAGCUUACGCUCGGAAGUGCUGCAAUGGCUCUGUGACCCUAUCUGCAGUUGUACUGUGGUUGUUGACGUUGUCUUGUCAAAAUGACCUUUUUGCCUUCCCAGGGUUGUCUCCAGGGUUGAUGGGGCUUUUGAUUAUCUCUCGGGGUUGUCUUUGAGGUUUGAUUGCAGCCUAUUCUGUUCUUCCUCAAGGUUGUCUCCAAGGUGGAUUUGAUAUUCCACAGGGAUGUCACCGUAGUUUGAUUUGUUUUAUAGUCCUUCAUGGUUAUAUCUAGAUUAUGAAAAAGACGAUUUUGCCCUCUUAUAUAGUUAGUAAUAGGAAAACGAAAUUUCGAGUGUCUACAACCACCUCCAAGUUUAACUCUUUCAUUAAUUUGUCCCCUUAAAUAUAUUAAUUUACAUAUUUGUAUUACCCUUAUACUUAUAUAAAAAUUUUUAGCAGGGGCAACUGCCUAUGCUGUCCUGUAUAUAAAUCUGCCCUUGUUGUAAAACCCAUAAUGAUGAUGAUAAAGAUGAUGAUAAUUCUCGAUUUAUGGUUGCUUAAUGAAUAAUUGUGGCGACGAGUUUUUUUGUAUCGAGGAGGG
RNAcentral lists this long non-coding RNA (10999 nucleotides) under Panax ginseng (ginseng). RNAcentral describes it as "long non-coding RNA (PGIN_LNC012409)". The record is from RNAcentral. Lineage: Eukaryota; Viridiplantae; Streptophyta; Magnoliopsida; Apiales; Araliaceae.